AACGAACGCUAUCGGUAUGCUUAACACAUGCAAGUCGGACGGACUGAUUAGGGCUUGCUUCAAUUAGUUAGUGGCAGACGGGUGAGUAACACGUGGGAAUCUGCCCAUCAGUACGGAAUAACUUUUAGAAAUAAAAGCUAAUACUGUAUAUUCUCUACAGAGGAAAGAUUUAUCGCGGAUGGAUGAGCCCGCGUCAGAUUAGGUAGUUGGUGAGGUAACGGCUCACCAAGCCGACGAUCUGUACCUGGUCUGAGAGGAUGAUCAGCCACACUGGGACUGAGACACGGCACAGACUCCUACGGGAGGCAGCAGUGGGGAAUGUUGGACAAUGGGCGAAAGCCUGAUGCAGUAAUGCCGGGUGAGUGAUAAAGUCCGUAGGGAUGUAAAGCGCUUUUAGCUAGGAAGAUAAUGACGUUACUUGCAGAAAAAGCCCCGGCUAACUCCGUG
This 447-nucleotide ribosomal RNA is filed under the name uncultured bacterium. RNAcentral's name for it is "partial 16S ribosomal RNA". It matches the Rfam family "Bacterial small subunit ribosomal RNA", at positions 29 to 507 of the family's 1533-position model. The record is from RNAcentral.